GACGAUGCGUAGGGGUUCUGAGAGGAAGGUCCCCCACACUGGUACUGAGACACGGACCAGACUCCUACGGGAGGCAGCAGUGAGGAAUAUUGGUCAAUGGCCGCAGGGCUGAACCAGCCAAGUCGCGUGAGGGAUGACGGUCCUAUGGAUUGUAAACCUCUUUUGUCAGGGAGCAAAGGACGCCACGUGUGGCGUUUUGCGAGUACCUGAAGAAAAAGCAUCGGCUAACUCCGUGCCAGCAGCCGCGGUAAUACGGAGGAUGCGAGCGUUAUCCGGAUUUAUUGGGUUUAAAGGGUGCGCAGGCGGAAUGUCAAGUCAGCGGUAAAAUUUCGGGGCUCAACCCCGUCGUGCCGUUGAAACUGGCGUUCUUGAGUGAGCGAGAAGUAUGCGGAAUGCGUGGUGUAGCGGUGAAAUGCAUAGAUAUCACGCAGAACUCCGAUUGCGAAGGCAGCAUACCGGCGCUCAACUGACGCUCAUGCACGAAAGCGUGGGUAUCGAACAGGAUUAGAUACCCUGGUAGUCCACGCAGUAAACGAUGAAUACUAACUGUCCGGGCCGAUUGAGGUCUGG
Molecule: ribosomal RNA, 570 nt
Filed under: uncultured bacterium
Lineage: Bacteria
Description: bacterial SSU rRNA
Rfam family: Bacterial small subunit ribosomal RNA
Source: RNAcentral